UUCGAGUACUGUCAUGGGUUUAUGUAAACUAGUCUGGGCCUGGAGAAUCCCAGGGACGGGGGAGCCUGGUGGGCUGUUGUCUAUGGGGUCACACAGAGUCGGACACGACUGAAGCGACUUAGCAGUAGCAGCAGCAGCAGCAGCAGUCUGGGCUGCUCUAUUUUCCUUUUGUAUUUUUUCAUUCAGAUCUCCUUGCCUUUGUGUACACAAACAUGUAUAUUUCAUUUAUGUUGCUUUAGCCCACCCAAUUCACCCUGAAAUUUCCAGAAGGGGGCACAAGGCUUGCAAAGGGUUCAAUAUUUCAAUGUCAUCUGCACACUUCCUCCCGCUCACUUGAAGGACACGCCCUGAGUGGCUCUCUGAGCUCAUUGCAGUCUAGAGGGACCCUGCCUUCACUGGCUUCCACAGCAUUUCCAGGCCACCCAGUUGCCUCGCCUGCUCUGAGCAGAGUACAGCGUACAUGGAAAGCGGGCUGGCCCAGCCUCUCCCCCUCCAGUGGACCCACUUAGUAUGGAGCUCUUAGGGCUUCCCACCCACUCUGGUCUCACCACAACGUCUCCUCUGCCUUUGCUCAGCUCCCAGCGAAGAAGGGCCUUUGAGCCCAGCUGUUGGUACCCUAUCCCCUCUUGAAAGAAAGCAGGGAGACCUCUUCCCCUCAAAGCUUGGGCGUUUGGGCUGCUUCUCAUCAUCAGGGAAUCUGAGCUGCCACCCCCAGCGUGGUGUCCCAGGAAGGGGUAUUGAUGGAGCCAGAGCUGGGUGGGAAAUAGGAUGAUGGCUCUUUGCCUCCUAGUGAUUCAGGUUCUCCCAGAAUGGCCUCAUGUGUUGUGAAUUACAGAAAUAACAAAAACACCCACGAUUAAAUACAAGUACCAAAAUGUUCUUGAAUGCCAAGUGUAAGGGAUUGAAACGCGCUCUUGAUGCAAGCUGGUCGCACGCGGCUUGCUGCCAUUCGCGCCUGCGCAGCAGUGGAGCCCGCGGGGGCCUGCUCUCCCCGGGCUGGGCUUGCUUUGUUUCUUCUGGUCCUUUCCUUUCACUCUCUGCAGCCAGAGACUGCAGUGGUGUUGGAUCGCAUUUUCCCUGCGAGGGGCCUGACCCCUCUGAUAGACAUAUUUGGUCUUCCUGGGAGGUCUCUCCAGGGUCAGAAAGGAACACACAGAAAAUCCAUUAGGCCCCAUAUCACAUCUCUUCAGGGGUAACAGAUGUCAGUGGUGCUCGCUGAGAUCUGAGUCAGAAAACUGCAGGGUCCUGGAGCCGAGCGUGGCAGAGUCGAGUGAUCCAGCCGUCUGGCCUCCACAGCAUCGAGCGCGGUGCCACCUCUGGGCUCACUAUCUGAGUCCGAGUCUGCAAAUGGUAGGGGUGCACGGAGGGCGGCGGGGGUCUUCUCUGCCUCGCUUCAGCUCCCUCCGCCCCAGCCUCUCCUUGCCCCCUGCUUAGUGGGGCCUGGUUCCUGCCAUGCCGUGGAAGAUGCUAGCAAGGAAGUGGGUGGGUGCACAUCUAAGCUGAGUUUUAUCUUUUUGGGGCUCCUUAAUCUCUUUUGAAGUGAUUUAGACCAUAGAGAACAACGGUGCUUGUUUUUUAUUCUGGAGGCUUCAGUUCUACCAAGAGGCUUCUUAAGUGUUAAGAGGCUCCCCGAGUUGUACCUAUCAACCAUUACCCAGCUCUUACUCCAGGACUCCGAACACUUUUUGUGGAACAGACUUUGCUGUGUCCGGUUCCUGGUGCCACCAUCCUCUGCACAGCAUCCUGUACCUGUAGAUUCUGCAGAAGCUCCUGCUUCAUUUCCUGCUGGAAUGGAAUGAUUCAGGAUCCCCCACUGUCCAUCAUCCCUGAGGGGGAGCAGUACUGAAGAAGAGCUUCUCAUGUUCCCCUUGACUCACCCCUAUGGACUUUGCUGGACUAAAAGAAGGUUGGCAUUCAUGCACUGUAAUUUCAUUGACACCAAAAAAAGCCUUUCCUUCACUCCCCUCACUUCCCCCAAACCCCAAGAAAACAAAAACAAACCCUCCCCUUUGUGUUAACCUGCUGAUAUACAACUCUUGGGGUUUUGUUCUUUUAAAUCAUCUAAAUGCAAAUUUUCUUAGAAGUCAUGAUAUUUAGAGCCUGAAAUUUGUCUGUCUGAACAAAUAAAAGAGUCUCAAUCUCCCCUCUGAGGUCCCUGUGUGAGGGAGGGCCUUAUAUAAUUGCUGAGGAGAAAAAGCAGCCCAGACUCUACUUAACCUACUUCUACAGUUUUGUUUUGAGCCCUUUUCGAGAGAGAGUGCAAGACCAGUUUCUCAUCAAACCCACAAAACUCAUAUUCUCAGACUUGGAGUUUUUUCUGUCCCCACCCCUACCUCACCCCACUUCCUCCCCACCUCUGUACUCCACCGUGGCAGGAAGGAAAGAUGGGACCUUUGCUGAGGGCUCAGGAGUGUGGUCUCAGAACCAGGGGGCCUGCCUUUCCAUCUAAGCGCUGACCCUCUCCAGCCAUGUGACCUUGGACAAGACACAUACUCUGUCUGGGCCUCAGUUUCCUCAUUUAUAUAUUUUGGGAACAAAAAUAGUUCUUAUUUCAUAGGAUUCGUUAAAGGUUUAAGAAUUAGUGCAUACAAAACGCUUAGAACUGUACUCAGAACCUAGAAAGCAUCAUCCACGUAGUCAGAUAACAGAGAGGAAAGCCCUGGUGUUGGCAUCAAGCCACCAGGGUCCGUACCCUGGUGCUGCUGCUUAUGACUGUGACCUUCAGCUAGAAACCCAAACCUCUCCGUCUCAGUUUGCUCCUUUGUAAAAGCAGAAUGUGUGCUAAGUCGCUACAGUUGUGUCUGACUCUGUGCAGCUCUAUGGCUUGUAGCCCACCAGACUCCUCCGUCCAUGGGAUUUUCCAGGCAAGAAUACUGGAGUAGCUUGCCAUUUGCUUCUCCAGGGGAUCUUUCCAACCCAGUAGACGAACCUGUGUCUCUUAUGCCUCCUGCAUUGGCAGGCAGGUCCUUUACCACUAGCGCCAUCUAGGAAGCCCGUAAAGGAGGAUAAUAGUAACCGUAUCAGGGGAUUGUUGAGAAGUUUAAAUGAGUUAAUAUUACAAAGCUUUUCAAUCAAACACACCAGGCACCAGUGAGCACUCAGUGUAAUUAUUAUUUUACUCUAUAGCAUGUUGACAUUGUACAAGGU
Bos taurus (domestic cattle) is the source of this 3147-nucleotide long non-coding RNA. The record is from Ensembl. Lineage: Eukaryota; Metazoa; Chordata; Mammalia; Artiodactyla; Bovidae.